GUGCUUGCUUUGGCAGCACAUACACUAAAUUGGAAGGAUACAGAGAUUAGCAUGGCCCCUGCACAAGGAUGACACACAAAUUUAUGAAGUGUUCCAUAUUUUA
Molecule: small nuclear RNA, 103 nt
Filed under: Tupaia belangeri chinensis (Chinese tree shrew)
Lineage: Eukaryota; Metazoa; Chordata; Mammalia; Scandentia; Tupaiidae
Source: RNAcentral